RNAcentral lists this ribosomal RNA (253 nucleotides) under uncultured bacterium. RNAcentral describes it as "partial 16S ribosomal RNA". It matches the Rfam family "Bacterial small subunit ribosomal RNA", at positions 524 to 776 of the family's 1533-position model. The record is from RNAcentral.
UACGUAGGGUGCAAGCGCUAAUCGGAAUUACUGGGCGUAAAGCGUGCGCAGGCGGUUUUGUAAGUCUGACGUGAAAUCCCCGGGCUCAACCUGGGAAUUGCGUUGGAGACUGCAAGGCUAGAAUCUGGCAGAGGGGGGUAGAAUUCCACGUGUAGCAGUGAAAUGCGUAGAGAUGUGGAGGAACACCGAUGGCGAAGGCAGCCCCCUGGGUCAAGAUUGACGCUCAUGCACGAAAGCGUGGGGAGCGAACAGG